This 303-nucleotide ribosomal RNA is filed under the name uncultured bacterium. RNAcentral's name for it is "partial 16S ribosomal RNA". It matches the Rfam family "Bacterial small subunit ribosomal RNA", at positions 507 to 807 of the family's 1533-position model. The record is from RNAcentral.
AGCAGCAGCCGCGGGAAUACGGAGGGUGCGAGCGUUAAUCGGAAUUACUGGGCGUAAAGCGUACGCAGGCGGUUUGUUAAGUCAGAUGUGAAAUCCCCGGGCUUAACCCGGGAACUGCAUUUGAAACUGGCAGGCUAGAGUCUCGUAGAGGGGGGUAGAAUUCCAGGUGUAGCGGUGAAAUGCGUAGAGAUCUGGAGGAACACCGAUGGCGAAGGCAGCCCCCUGGGCCAAUACUGACGCUCAGGCACGAAAGCGUGGGGAGCAAACAGGAUUAGAUACCCGCGUAGUCCCUGUCUCUUAUAC